AUGCGUCUCGACCUCCUCCCUAACGCUGCGCCAGCGUGGCGCGCGCACGCCUCCCAUCCGGCGGCCGCGGUGCUGAACUGCAUGGACGCCCUGCCGGAGGCACUCGCCUUCAUCCAGCAGUUCAAGAGCAAGACGGUGGUGGUGAAGUACGGCGGCACGGCCAUGACGUCGCCGCUGCAUGCGUCGAUGAUCCGCAACCUUGUCCUCCUCUCAUGCGUCGGCCUGCGCCCCGUGCUCGUGCAUGGCGGCGGUCCAGAGAUCAACUCCUAACUGUAGCACAUCGGCGUCGAGUCGCAGCUCCGCAACGGCCUCCACGUCACCGGCGCUCUCAUCAUGGAGGUCGUCGAGAUGGUGCUGGUCAGCAAGGUCAACAAUAAGCAGCUCGUCUCCCUCAUCAGCCUCGCCGGUGCCACCGCUGUCGGCCUCUGUGGCAAGGACGCGCACCUCCACACCGUGCGCCCCUCCCCCGACGCCGCAGCCCACGGGUUCGUCGGCGAGGUGACGCGCGUACACCCCUCCUUGCUCCACCCCAUCAUCGCCUCCGGCCACAUCCCAGUCAUCGCCACUGUGGCCGCCGACGAGACUGGGUAGGCCUACACCAGCAACGCCGAAACUGUUGCGGGGAAGAUCGUGGCUGCCAUUGGCGCCGAGAAGCUGUUGCUUUUUUUUAGAAGACGAGAAGUUGUUGCUGAUCACUGCGAGUGGCGACGGGAUGAAGUGGGACUCCAAUGGGCUAAUAGAGCUAGCCCACCUAAUUUUCUUCUUGUUCAAUGA
This 774-nucleotide ribosomal RNA is filed under the name Triticum aestivum (bread wheat). RNAcentral's name for it is "partial small subunit ribosomal RNA". Lineage: Eukaryota; Viridiplantae; Streptophyta; Magnoliopsida; Poales; Poaceae. The record is from RNAcentral.